Oenanthe melanoleuca is the source of this 796-nucleotide RNA transcript. It is a transcript of the gene named sarcolipin, with no coding region annotated. The transcript has 2 exons. Lineage: Eukaryota; Metazoa; Chordata; Aves; Passeriformes; Muscicapidae. The record is from RefSeq and is a predicted model, not a curated record.
CUACUUUAGUGCCCACACAGGGACAGAGCAUCCAGACUGAGAGGGACAUAGGCAGAAGCUUGGAGGGAAAAAUUCCCUGCAGUGACCCAAGGUCCUGAGGCAGAACCACAGGGCUCCAUUUACCUCCUCAAGAGCCUGUGACCUGAAGGUUGAGCUCAAGGACACAUCCAAGCAAGUCACUGGAGUUUUCCCUUUGCUCUCUGCCUGCUGACCCCUGCUCUCUCCUCAUUACUCCCCAAAAAAUGGAACUUUCCACACGAGAAAUUUGCCUCAACUUCAUGGUUGUCCUGAUUACUGUGAUCCUCAUGUGGCUCCUUGUGAAGUCUUAUCAGGAUUGAAAGGCUCUCAGAAACUCUGGAGGUGAUUUCAGUGUGUGCCUCCACAGAUAUCAGUACCACCCACAACAUGCCACACCAAUUAGCUUUCAGUCAAUUGAGGAUGUCCUGAACCUUUAUUUUUUACUCUCUCCUAUCUGUUGCCUGUGCUAAUGUCUGUAGUGGGUCUGUGAUGGUGUAAUUCUUUCAGUCUGCAGUGAUCCAGCUGUAAAAUGUGAGAUGCUUAGGAGCAGUUUGAUGUGGCUGUCUCCUCUGAUAGUCUCUGUGAAUGCUGUAUCCCCAGCCCACUGAUGAUGCUUGUUUGGCAUCAGUGUUGGGUUCUGGAGGGUGUAAAACUGCAGCAUGUAUUGUGAGAGCCUGUAUUGUCCAAUGUAAAAUGCAUAAAUUUGCUUAGCAAAAAGGAAUGUGAAACGUCUGCUUCCAUUUGCACAUUUUGUUUAAAUAAAGACCACAUAAAAUCA